GAUGAACGCUGGCGGCGUGCCUUAUACAUGCAAGUCGAGCGAACAGACGAGGAGCUUGCUCCUCUGACGUUAGCGGCGGACGGGUGAGUAACACGUGGAUAACCUACCUAUAAGACUGGGAUAACUUCGGGAAACCGGAGCUAAUACCGGAUAAUAUAUUGAACCGCAUGGUUCAAUAGUGAAAGACGGUUUUGCUGUCACUUAUAGAUGGAUCCGCGCCGCAUUAGCUAGUUGGUAAGGUAACGGCUUACCAAGGCGACGAUGCGUAGCCGACCUGAGAGGGUGAUCGGCCACACUGGAACUGAGACACGGUCCAGACUCCUACGGGAGGCAGCAGUAGGGAAUCUUCCGCAAUGGGCGAAAGCCUGACGGAGCAACGCCGCGUGAGUGAUGAAGGUCUUCGGAUCGUAAAACUCUGUUAUUAGGGAAGAACAAAUGUGUAAGUAACUAUGCACGUCUUGACGGUACCUAAUCAGAAAGCCACGGCUAACUACGUG
This 497-nucleotide ribosomal RNA is filed under the name uncultured bacterium. RNAcentral describes it as "partial 16S ribosomal RNA". It matches the Rfam family "Bacterial small subunit ribosomal RNA", at positions 28 to 507 of the family's 1533-position model. The record is from RNAcentral.